GACGAACGCCGGCGGCGUGCUUAACACAUGCAAGUCGAGCGGUAAGGCCCUUUCGGGGGUACACGAGCGGCGAACGGGUGAGUAACACGUGGGUGACCUGCCCUCAGCUCUGGGAUAAGCCUGGGAAACUGGGUCUAAUACUGGAUAUGACUCCACGGUGCAUGUCGUGGGGUGGAAGGCCUUGUGCGGCUGAGGAUGGGCCCGCGGCCUAUCAGCUUGUUGGUGGGGUGANGGCCUACCAAGGCGACGACGGGUAGCCGGCCUGAGAGGGCGACCGGCCACACUGGGACUGAGACACGGGCCCAGACUCCUACGGGAGGCAGCAGUGGGGAAUCUUGCGCAAUGGGCGAAAGCCUGACGCAGCGACGCCGCGUGAGGGAUGACGGCCUCGGUUGUAA
RNAcentral lists this ribosomal RNA (398 nucleotides) under uncultured bacterium. RNAcentral describes it as "bacterial SSU rRNA". It matches the Rfam family "Bacterial small subunit ribosomal RNA", at positions 28 to 428 of the family's 1533-position model. The record is from RNAcentral.